Long non-coding RNA from Chenopodium quinoa (quinoa), 466 nucleotides. RefSeq lists it as uncharacterized. The transcript is spliced from 3 exons. NCBI's taxonomy places the organism in Eukaryota, Viridiplantae, Streptophyta, Magnoliopsida, Caryophyllales, Amaranthaceae. The record is from RefSeq and is a predicted model, not a curated record.
GGGUCCAGAUCCAUUGCCAUCCCUAGUGAAGAGUAAUUUGGAUGGAUUAGAUCUAGGGUUUCAUUUUUUUUAUAUAAAAAAAAUUUGCUGAAUUAAUUAAACAUUUAAUUUUUUUUUUCGCUAAUAACUAUCCGUUUAUUUGUUAUUUUUUUUUUAACUUCAUUUGGUUUGAUUAUUUGACACAGGAAGUCUCAAUAAGACGGGAAAAACUAAUGGCCCUAAAAUUUGAUGAAUGAAGGGAAAGGCAAGGCUACGCUGGUGGUCUAAGCUUGCGGAAGCGGUGGAUUCGUACUAUGGUUUGCAGGUGCCCUGAAUCAUGGUUGGGUGAUUGAUUAAGCAGAGAUGUGCAUAUGCUAAACAGAAAUCUCACUUGGAAAUAGUACUCAAGCUCCAUAUUGAUGUAACUAUAUUUGUAAUUUUUAGUGAAGUUAAAUAAUUUUAUUUUUAUUAUUAUGGUUCAAUCUAA